Molecule: long non-coding RNA, 369 nt
Organism: Drosophila miranda
Lineage: Eukaryota; Metazoa; Arthropoda; Insecta; Diptera; Drosophilidae
Exons: 3
Source: RefSeq, a predicted model, not a curated record
CUGGCGGCGAUUUGGCGUGUCUCGGCUGGCUGUCAGCCGUGAUAAAUGCCUGUGGAAAACCGUAUUCUCCGCAUAACCGAUUCGGAUGUAAUUGGGAAAAAUCUCUGUAAUUAUUUGGACAUUCGUGUCCAGGCAGGCAGUCGGGCAGCCGGGCAGCCGGGCAGCGGCAGUCUUGGAAUGGCAAUCGAAUAGCAUCUGGUGAACGAUUAACAUCCAAUUUGGGCAAUACUGGAACCACACACACACACACACACUAGUCAAGUUCAAUGGCAAACGUAAAAAACCAACGAAUUUUGGAUUGGCUUGGCGGUGGCUUGGAAUUCCCCCGCUCCGAAUAACGUAGCUGAAAUGGGAAAAAUAAAAACAAAA